GAUGAAGAACGCAGCGAAAUGCGAUAAUUAAUGUGAAUUGCAGAAUUCCGUGAAUCAUCGAGUCUUUGAACGCACAUUGCGCCUCAUGGCAUUCCGUGAGGCAUGCCCAUCUCAGCGUUAGAAAAUAUUCUCAAAUUUUAGUUUUGUGCUAAAAUUUGGAUCAUGUCAAGGAAGCUAUUACUAUUAUUGUGAUUGCUCUUUGGAAAUUGAUAGGUUUUUGAGUUGCUACUCAUAGAACGUGAUGAAUCUUUCUUCGUUCUAUUGUAAUUCACUCUGGUAGUCCUAAAACUUGUAUGCCUGUGGCAUAUCUUGUAAUUUGACCUGAGAUUGGGUAGGGAUACCCGCUGAACUUAAGCAUAUCAAUAAGCGGAGGA
Molecule: unclassified non-coding RNA, 374 nt
Filed under: soil metagenome
Description: partial contains internal transcribed spacer 2 and large subunit ribosomal RNA
Rfam family: 5.8S ribosomal RNA (bases 1-120)
Source: RNAcentral